This 275-nucleotide ribosomal RNA is filed under the name uncultured bacterium. RNAcentral describes it as "partial 16S ribosomal RNA". It matches the Rfam family "Bacterial small subunit ribosomal RNA", at positions 83 to 354 of the family's 1533-position model. The record is from RNAcentral.
CUCCGCCGGCGACCGGCGCACGGGUGAGUAACGCGUAUGCAACCUGCCCGUUUCAGCGGGAUAACCCGGAGAAAUCCGGCCUAAUACCGCAUGUGGCCGAGGGGAGGCAUCUUCUUUCGGCCAAAGGAGGCGACUCCGGAGACGGAUGGGCAUGCGUGACAUUAGCUAGUUGGCGGGGUAACGGCCCACCUAACCGACGAUGCGUAGGGGUUCUGAGAGGAAGGUCCCCCACACUGGUACUGAGACACGGACCAGACUCCUACGGAAGGCAGCAG